AGUGAGGCUGGAGGAUUAUGAUAGCUGAAGCUUCCGAGUCCCUAGUGGGGAGCUGAAAGCAAUUUAAGAUUGUGGGAUAAACACAUUUCGUGGGCACUUCUGUCAAAACGAACAACAAUACAGACAUUUUAAAUGUCACCUGUAGAUUUCACAUUUUAUACAACUGAUCACUUGGGACAUUUCAUACUUCUUUUGGUUUCUGACUACAUCUAGAUUCAGUAGGACAAUGCUACAUCAGCAAGUAUCAUUUAUAAGGUUUUCUUUGCAACCACAGAUUUGCCUAGAUUCAGAAGAAAAGCCAGGUUAGAAUUACCUAACAUGUUAACAGCUCACUUUCCCCCUUGGUACAGGCUCAGAUGAAUACCUUUACUUUUAUUUUGUUAGUCAAAUUCAAUCCUAGGAUAAACUUUAUUAGGAAAAAUCAAAAGUAAAUGCUACUUGACUUUGUCGAAGUUAAGAGAAGCUUGGCUGGAAUGAGAUCACUUCAACACAUCUAAAAAUCGUUUCCAAGGCCAAACAUCUCAUCUGAUGACGCAACUGCCAAGCAAAUUGCUCUGACAGACAGGUGCCAGAGAGGCUGAUGCUGACGCUAGAAAAACAUAUCAAGAAGUUGGCACUGAAAGUGUUAACCGUGACGAAGGAAAUUAGGAAUGUGGGUAGUUUGACUACGGAUUUUUGGCUGCUGUUAAAACAACAGUUGUUCAGUUGCUGGAGCAACGUAUGAAGUCACUAAAAAUAAGUUCCAAGAGGUAACUGUAUAUGGCAAAGGGCAAUAGCAGACAGAAAAGCCGGAUCUGAACUAUUACUACUGAAAAUAUGCUGUACUUGAAAACAAAAGGCAAAACUUCAUGAAUCCUCUAUAAAACUGGACAGUGAAUUGGUGUUUUAACGCACACCGUUCAUAAGGUACUUCCACAACCUUACAAGGUAAACAAGAAAAUGUUAAACUGACUUUGGCUUAAUCAAUUAGCACAGGAAACUGCAGCGUAAUGUACUGAGCACUCGCCUGGAAGCCAGCAAACUCAGGUUCUGUUCCGGGUGUGACAAUAGCUUAAAGCUUCACUUCAGGCAAGUCAUUUUACUUCUCUUCCUCUAUGUCCUUUUCUAAUCUUAAUUAUUUAAGCCAUAAGCUCUUCAUGGUAAGAACUAUUUGUACUAUGCAUUUAAACAACCUGCAGAAUAGGGUAUCGGUCUCAGCUGCAUGAACUCUAAGUAUUCAGAGUAAUAUCAAAAAACAUUUCUCAAAGCACCAUUCUCUUAUAAAGAAACCGUGUCAGACGGUUCCUUUUCAGGAAGGAACCGUCCCUUCUGGGACCUUUCCAGAAAUCAGAUCCCAAAUGACAUACCCACACUGUCCUAAGGCUUAGUUUAAAUGUUGUCAGAAAAAAUUCCAACUGCAGCAUUAAUUCAUCUCAUUAUUAGAGUCAUUUAUCUAAUGUUAGCAGCUAUGGGCUAGUGGACCUGGAACCUUGCUGUGUGCUGCAUGAUAAUAGAAGUAACCAGAACUUGAAGGUCCCCAAAAGCAGGUGCAUGAGAUAAACUGGUUGGGAUGGGUAGAGAGAAGUUACCAAAACUGAAAGGAUGCAGUGCAAAUGUUACCACGGUCAUUCAUAUACAGCAGUAAUUUGUUCCGUCUCAGUUACAGAAACCUAAAACCUCAGAUGGGGCACUUAGCCAACAGCCUCUAACAAUUCAGCCUCUCUAUUUUGGGUAUGUGGGAAAGAAGUGGAACGGAGGAAGCACUUUUAGGGGGAAAGGCUGCUCCAGCACAUCUUUUUUCCAUCAUGGCAUGGGAGGACAAGAAGUGUGUGAAGGAAAGCAGGUAACUGCACAAUAAGUGCCUUGGAUGUAAAAACUGCUGAAUGUUCUCCAGGAAAGAAAAGAAAGACAGGAACGAUGACAUACUGGAUGGUACAAGUAUAAGCAGGAAAAAGUUUCCAGCAUCACAGAAGAAAACUGCGAGGUACUUGAUAAAUAUUUACUUCAGGACUGGAGAAAAAGGACUGCAAUGAAGGCUUCUACGAGCUGUUGCUAUACAAUUAAGCUGAUAUCCAGGUAUUCAUGAAGACCCCCAUUUUAUGGCAAAAGACAAAUCACAUGUGCAUGUCUGCAACAGCACUAUCAACUAUCCAAAAGACUUAUCCAGACUACAGCGGAGGUAACAUCUUGUAUUGCCACGUAGUAUGGCAAGCCGAACCACUGACCUUUAACAACUCUGAGGCAACAGUCCUAUUCAAGAACUGACACGAUGGAAAAUCCCAAGACGAGAAGGGAAGAAGAAAAGUGCCAGGCCCUGCUUUUAAAAGAAACAGGCUAAGAAGAAUGGACAGGGUGUUGCCAAGACCAGAGACUUGGCAAAAGGGGCAAAAGACAAAAAAAAGACAGGAUUUCUAUGGGACCAACCCCUAAAGGAUUCCAAAAGGUGGUAAGAACUCUGAUGCCAAGCAUGAAGUGACUCAGGUGUUUGUUGUCUCCCCAUCAAACAUACGAAUUUCUUAAACUGACACUAAAGCGCAUAUAUGCAUGCAUAUGUUAAGAAGAGUUUCACAGUCACAUGUCUUGCCACAGUCACAGAAAAAUCUAUAGAAUGAAUCUGUACACUGGACUAAACAAGGUAGUGGAGCUCUAAAAGACUCAGGAUGUUCAUCCCUAUCUUAAGACAUACGAACUUUAGUCCCUUUAGAUCUCUAAGGUCUAAAGUCUGAUUGAAGAAUCAGACUUUGAAAAGUUACCUAGAUGUCAUCCACUGGAUUUGGAAAGCACGUGGCAUCCAAAAGCCUGAGUUAAAUACAGUAUCCCGAUGAUUACCAUAAGGGGAUGCAGAACUCAGCCAGCUGUGUAAUAUUUCCAAAGGAAUUCAUUCCACCAGGGCAGACGUUGUAUAGACUGGAUGGCAGACGGCCACCCAUACAGCCCUCCAGUUACUGACAUUUAAACAUAA
This is a long non-coding RNA of Dromaius novaehollandiae (emu), 2941 nucleotides long. RefSeq lists it as uncharacterized. The transcript has 3 exons. The record is from RefSeq and is a predicted model, not a curated record. Lineage: Eukaryota; Metazoa; Chordata; Aves; Casuariiformes; Dromaiidae.